UACGUAGGGUGCAAGCGUUAAUCGGAAUUACUGGGCGUAAAGCGUGCGCAGGCGGUUUUGUAAGUCUGUCGUGAAAUCCCCGGGCUCAACCUGGGAAUUGCGAUGGAGACUGCAAGGCUAGAAUCUGGCAGAGGGGGGUAGAAUUCCACGUGUAGCAGUGAAAUGCGUAGAGAUGUGGAGGAACACCGAUGGCGAAGGCAGCCCCCCGGGUCAAGAUUGACGCUCAUGCACGAAAGCGUGGGGAGCAAACAGG
Molecule: ribosomal RNA, 253 nt
Filed under: uncultured bacterium
Lineage: Bacteria
Description: partial 16S ribosomal RNA
Rfam family: Bacterial small subunit ribosomal RNA
Source: RNAcentral